UGCAGUCGAACGAUGAUCCCAGCUUGCUGGGGGAUUAGUGGCGAACGGGUGAGUAACACGUGAGUAACCUGCCCUUAACUCUGGGAUAAGCCUGGGAAACUGGGUCUAAUACCGGAUAUGACUCCUCAUCGCAUGGUGGGGGGUGGAAAGCUUUAUUGUGGUUUUGGAUGGACUCGCGGCCUAUCAGCUUGUUGGUGAGGUAAUGGCUCACCAAGGCGACGACGGGUAGCCGGCCUGAGAGGGUGACCGGCCACACUGGGACUGAGACACGGCCCAGACUCCUACGGGAGGCAGCAGUGGGGAAUAUUGCACAAUGGGCGAAAGCCUGAUGCAGCGACGCCGCGUGAGGGAUGACGGCCUUCGGGUUGUAAACCUCUUUCAGUAGGGAAGAAGCGAAAGUGACGGUACCUGCAGAAGAAGCGCCGGCUAACUACGUGCCAGCAGCCGCGGUAAUACGUAGGGCGCAAGCGUUAUCCGGAAUUAUUGGGCGUAAAGAGCUCGUAGGCGGUUUGUCGCGUCUGCCGUGAAAGUCCGGGGCUCAACUCCGGAUCUGCGGUGGGUACGGGCAGACUAGAGUGAUGUAGGGGAGACUGGAAUUCCUGGUGUAGCGGUGAAAUGCGCAGAUAUCAGGAGGAACACCGAUGGCGAAGGCAGGUCUCUGGGCAUUAACUGACGCUGAGGAGCGAAAGCAUGGGGAGCGAACAGGAUUAGAUACCCCUGGUAGUCCAUGCCCGUAAACGUUGGGCACUAGGUGUGGGGGACAUUCCACGUUUUCCGCGCCGUAGCUAACGCAUUAAGUGCCCCGCCUGGGGGAGUACGGGCCCCAAGGGCUAAAACUCAAAAGGAAAUUGACGGGGGGGCCCGCACCAAAGCGGGCGGGAGCA
RNAcentral lists this ribosomal RNA (884 nucleotides) under Pseudarthrobacter scleromae. Its description in RNAcentral is "bacterial SSU rRNA". It matches the Rfam family "Bacterial small subunit ribosomal RNA", at positions 56 to 943 of the family's 1533-position model. Lineage: Bacteria; Bacillati; Actinomycetota; Actinomycetes; Micrococcales; Micrococcaceae. The record is from RNAcentral.